UACGGGAGGCAGCAGUGGGGAAUAUUGCACAAUGGGCGAAAGCCUGAUGCAGCUAUGCCGCGUGUAUGAAGAAGGCCUUAGGGUUGUAAAGUACUUUCAUCGGGGAGGAAAAAACAAAACUAAUAAUUUUAUUUCUUGACGUUACCCGAAAAAGAAGCACCGGCUAACUCCGUGCCAGCAGCCGCGGUAAUACGGAGGGUGCUAGCGUUAAUCAGAAUUACUGGGCGUAAAGAGCACGUAGGUGGUUUUUUUAAGUCAGAUGUGAAAUCCCUGGGCUUAACCUGGAACUGCAUUUUGAAACUGAAAUACUAGAGUAUCGUAGAGGGAGGUAGAAUUCUAGGUGUAGCGGUGAAAUGCGUAGAUAUCUGGAGGAAUACCUGUGGCGAAAGCGGCCUCCUAAACGAAUACUGACACUGAGGUGCGAAAAGCGUGGGGAGCAAAACAGGGAUUAGGAUACC
RNAcentral lists this ribosomal RNA (458 nucleotides) under uncultured bacterium. Its description in RNAcentral is "bacterial SSU rRNA". It matches the Rfam family "Bacterial small subunit ribosomal RNA", at positions 340 to 786 of the family's 1533-position model. The record is from RNAcentral.